GGUAAAAUGGCUGAGAUAAGGUAAUAAAUUGUAAAUUUAUGUAGGAAGGUAAACUUCUUUUACCA
This 65-nucleotide transfer RNA is filed under the name Aoria nigripes. Its description in RNAcentral is "tRNA-Tyr". The record is from RNAcentral. Lineage: Eukaryota; Metazoa; Arthropoda; Insecta; Coleoptera; Chrysomelidae.